GCCGGUGUAGUCCAAUUGGCAGGAGACGCGUCCUUUAGGUGGACGACAGUGUGGGUUCGAGUCCCUCCACCGGCA
This 75-nucleotide transfer RNA is filed under the name Acidimicrobiia bacterium. Its description in RNAcentral is "tRNA-Leu". It matches the Rfam family "tRNA". From Rfam's summary of the family: Transfer RNA (tRNA) molecules are approximately 80 nucleotides in length. Their secondary structure includes four short double-helical elements and three loops (D, anti-codon, and T loops). The record is from RNAcentral. Lineage: Bacteria; Bacillati; Actinomycetota; Acidimicrobiia.